Molecule: ribosomal RNA, 492 nt
Filed under: uncultured bacterium
Lineage: Bacteria
Description: partial 16S ribosomal RNA
Rfam family: Bacterial small subunit ribosomal RNA
Source: RNAcentral
AGUGAACGCUGGCGGUAGGCCUAACACAUGCAAGUCGAACGGCAGCACAGUAAGAGCUUGCUCUUACGGGUGGCGAGUGGCGGACGGGUGAGGAAUACAUCGGAAUCUACUUUUUCGUGGGGGAUAACGCAGGGAAACUUACGCUAAUACCGCAUACGACCUACGGGUGAAAGCAGGGGAUCUUCGGACCUUGCGCGAUUGAAUGAGCCGAUGUCGGAUUAGCUAGUUGGCGGGGUAAAGGCCCACCAAGGCGACGAUCCGUAGCUGGUCUGAGAGGAUGAUCAGCCACACUGGAACUGAGACACGGUCCAGACUCCUACGGGAGGCAGCAGUGGGGAAUAUUGGACAAUGGGCGCAAGCCUGAUCCAGCCAUGCCGCGUGUGUGAAGAAGGCCUUCGGAUUGUAAAGCCCUUUUGUUGGGAAAGAAAAGCAGCAGGUUAAUACCCCGCUGUUCUGACGGUACCCAAAGAAUAAGCACCGGCUAACUUCGUG